This 420-nucleotide ribosomal RNA is filed under the name uncultured bacterium. RNAcentral describes it as "bacterial SSU rRNA". It matches the Rfam family "Bacterial small subunit ribosomal RNA", at positions 358 to 769 of the family's 1533-position model. The record is from RNAcentral.
GGAAUCUUCCGCAAUGGCCGAAAGUCUGACGGAGCAACGCCGCGUGAGCGAUGAAGGCCUUCGGGUCGUAAAGCUCUGUUGUCAGGGAAGAACAAGUACCGGAGUAACUGCCGGUACUUUGACGGUACCUGACCAGAAAGCCACGGCUAACUACGUGCCAGCAGCCGCGGUAAUACGGAGGGUGCAAGCGUUGUCCGGAAUUAUUGGGCGUAAAGCGCACGUAGGCGGUUCUUUAAGUCUCUUGGUGAAAGGCUGGGGCUCAACCCCAUGCAUGCCGGGGAUACUGGGGAACUGGAGACAGGUAGAGGCCAGCGGAAUUCCGGGUGUAGCGGUGGAAUGCGUAGAGAUCCGGAAGAACACCGGAGGCGAAGGCGGCUGGCUGGACCUGAUCUGACGCUGAGGUGCGAAAGCGUGGGGAGC